RNAcentral lists this ribosomal RNA (269 nucleotides) under uncultured prokaryote. RNAcentral describes it as "partial 16S ribosomal RNA". It matches the Rfam family "Bacterial small subunit ribosomal RNA", at positions 524 to 792 of the family's 1533-position model. The record is from RNAcentral.
GACGGAGGGUGCAAGCGUUGUUCGGAAUUAUUGGGCGUAAAGCGCGUGCAGGCGGUGGGAUAAGUCCGAUGUGAAAGCCUUGGGCUCAACCCGAGAAGUGCAUUGGAUACUGUCCUUCUUGAGUACGGGAGGGGGAAGUGGAAUUCCCAGUGUAGAGGUGAAAUUCGUAGAUAUUGGGAGGAACACCGGUGGCGAAAGCGACUUCCUGGAACGAUACUGACGCUGAGACGCGAAAGCGUGGGGAGCAAACAGGAUUAGAUACCCCCGUA